Molecule: long non-coding RNA, 294 nt
Organism: Zingiber officinale
Lineage: Eukaryota; Viridiplantae; Streptophyta; Magnoliopsida; Zingiberales; Zingiberaceae
Exons: 3
Source: RefSeq, a predicted model, not a curated record
GUCGAGUUUGUGGACAAAGAAGCAGUCGCAGUUACCAGUGUGUCUCGGAAGGUAACUUUCUACAAUGGACCAAGCUCUACGGACUUCAUAAAUGUCCAUGACAUUUUUCUUGAAUGUGAUCAUGAUUCAAUCAUAUACCUUGGGAAGUCUGUUGAACCAACAAUAUAUGAUCUUUUGGGUGAUCAAGAGGUUGAAAUCUGCUUGUUGAAAAAUGGAAAACCAUCAUGGACGAAGAAGUUUCUUUGCUCCAAAGUCAGGUCUGUCUUCAUUGCUGUCACAUACAACUCAUGCAGA